This 253-nucleotide ribosomal RNA is filed under the name uncultured bacterium. Its description in RNAcentral is "partial 16S ribosomal RNA". It matches the Rfam family "Bacterial small subunit ribosomal RNA", at positions 524 to 776 of the family's 1533-position model. The record is from RNAcentral.
UACGGAGGGUGCAAGCGUUAUCCGGAUUCACUGGGUUUAAAGGGUGCGUAGGUGGGCAGGUAAGUCAGUGGUGAAAUCUCCGGGCUUAACUCGGAAACUGCCAUUGAUACUAUCUUUCUUGAAUACCGUGGAGGUCAGCGGAAUAUGUCAUGUAGCGGUGAAAUGCUUAGAUAUGACAUAGAACACCAAUUGCGAAGGCAGCUUACUACACAGUUAUUGACGCUGAGGCACGAAAGCGUGGGGAUCAAACAGG